RNAcentral lists this ribosomal RNA (465 nucleotides) under uncultured bacterium. RNAcentral describes it as "partial 16S ribosomal RNA". It matches the Rfam family "Bacterial small subunit ribosomal RNA", at positions 338 to 795 of the family's 1533-position model. The record is from RNAcentral.
CCUACGGGGGGCAGCAGUGGGGAAUAUUGCGCAAUGGGCGAAAGCCUGACGCAGCGACGCCGCGUGAGGGAUGAAGGUCUUCGGAUCGUAAACCUCUGUCAGCAGGGAAGAACGGUCACUGUGCUAAUCAGCAGUGAAUUGACGGUACCUGCAAAGGACGCACCGGCGAACUCCGUGCCAGCAGCCGCGGUAAUACGGAGGGUGCGAGCGUUAAUCGGAAUUACUGGGCGUAAAGCGCUCGUAGGCGGUAUGUCAAGUCUAGGGUGAAAUCCCCGGGCUCAACGUGGGAACUGCCUUUGAAACUGGCAAACUGGAGUGUGUGGGAGGAUAGUGGAAGUCGAGGUGUAGGAGUGAAAUGCGUAGAUAUCUGGAGGAACAUCAGUGGCGAAGGCGACUAUCUGGCACAUAACUGACGCUGAGGAGCGAAAGCGUGGGUAGCAAACAGGAUUAGAUACCCCUGUAGUC